GCGCUACACAUGCAGUCGAGCGGUAAGAGAAGCUUGCUUCUCUUGAGAGCGGCGGACGGGUGAGUAAUGCCUAGGAAUCUGCCUAGUGGUGGGGGAUAACGUUCGGAAACGGACGCUAAUACCGCAUACGUCCUACGGGAGAAAGCGGGGGAUCUUCGGACCUCGCGCCAUUAGAUGAGCCUAGGUCGGAUUAGCUAGUUGGUGAGGUAAUGGCUCACCAAGGCGACGAUCCGUAACUGGUCUGAGAGGAUGAUCAGUCACACUGGAACUGAGACACGGUCCAGACUCCUACGGGAGGAAGCAGUGGGGAAUAUUGGACAAUGGGCGAAAGCCUGAUCCAGCCAUGCCGCGUGUGUGAAGAAGGUCUUCGGAUUGUAAAGCACUUUAAGUUGGGAGGAAGGGUAGUA
Molecule: ribosomal RNA, 407 nt
Filed under: Pseudomonas sp. FS20(2011)
Lineage: Bacteria; Pseudomonadati; Pseudomonadota; Gammaproteobacteria; Pseudomonadales; Pseudomonadaceae
Description: bacterial SSU rRNA
Rfam family: Bacterial small subunit ribosomal RNA
Source: RNAcentral